AACGCACAUUGCGCCCCUUGGUAUUCCGAGGGGCAUGCCUAUUCGAGCGUCAUUAUCACCCCUCAAGCCUAGCUUGGUGUUGAGACCUGCUGUCAAGGCAGUCUCUAAAAUCAGUGGCAGUGCUGUCAGGCUCUAAGCGUAGUAAAUUCAUCGCUAUAGACACCUGGUGGACACUCGCCAGAACCCCCCCAUUUUUUAAUGAUUGACCUCGGAUUAGGUAGGGAUACCCGCUGAACUUAA
This 240-nucleotide unclassified non-coding RNA is filed under the name uncultured Ascomycota. RNAcentral describes it as "sequence contains ITS2". The record is from RNAcentral. Lineage: Eukaryota; Fungi; Ascomycota.